This 87-nucleotide transfer RNA is filed under the name bacterium. RNAcentral's name for it is "tRNA-Leu". It matches the Rfam family "tRNA". From Rfam's summary of the family: Transfer RNA (tRNA) molecules are approximately 80 nucleotides in length. Their secondary structure includes four short double-helical elements and three loops (D, anti-codon, and T loops). Further hydrogen bonds mediate the characteristic L-shaped molecular structure. tRNAs have two regions of fundamental functional importance: the anti-codon, which is responsible for specific mRNA codon recognition, and the 3' end, to which the tRNAs corresponding amino acid is attached (by aminoacyl-tRNA synthetases). tRNAs cope with the degeneracy of the genetic code in two manners: having more than one tRNA (with a specific anti-codon) for a particular amino acid; and 'wobble' base-pairing, i.e. permitting non-standard base-pairing at the 3rd anti-codon position. The record is from RNAcentral.
GCCCAGGUGGCGGAAUCGGCAGACGCGCAGGCUUGAGGGGCCUGUGGGAGCAAUCCUGUGUGGGUUCAAAUCCCACCCUGGGCACAA